This is a non-coding RNA of Gallus gallus (chicken), 46 nucleotides long. The record is from Rfam. NCBI's taxonomy places the organism in Eukaryota, Metazoa, Chordata, Aves, Galliformes, Phasianidae.
CAUGAGGUUCUUUUAAGAACUAUUAUUGCUAAUAAACAAAUUUUUU